CCUACGGGUGGCAGCAGUAGGGAAUUUUCCACAAUGGACGAAAGUCUGAUGGAGCAACGCCGCGUGAGUGAAGAAGGGUUUCGGCUCGUAAAGCUCUGUUGGUAGUGAAGAAAGAUAGAGGUAGUAACUCGCCUUUAUUUGACGGUACUUACUUAGAAAGUCCCGGCUAACUACGUGCCAGCAGCCGCGGUAAUACGGAGGUGGCAAGCGUUGUCCGGAGUUAUUGGGCGUAAAGCGAGUGCAGGCGGUUCAAUAAGUCUGAUGUGAAAGCCUUCGGCUCAACCGGAGAACUGCAUCAGAAACUGUUGAACUUGAGUGCAGAAGAGGAGAGUGGAACUCAAGGUGUAGCAGUGGAAUGCGUAGAUAUAUGGAGGAACACUAGUGGCGAAGGCGGCUCUCUGGUCUGCAACUGACGCUGAGGCUCGAAAGCAUGGGUAGCGAACAGGAUUAGAUACCCGAGUAGUC
RNAcentral lists this ribosomal RNA (465 nucleotides) under uncultured bacterium. Its description in RNAcentral is "partial 16S ribosomal RNA". It matches the Rfam family "Bacterial small subunit ribosomal RNA", at positions 338 to 795 of the family's 1533-position model. The record is from RNAcentral.